UGUUAAGCCUAUCUUCUAAAGCGAGGUUAA
This 30-nucleotide non-coding RNA is filed under the name Rattus norvegicus (Norway rat). The record is from RNAcentral. Lineage: Eukaryota; Metazoa; Chordata; Mammalia; Rodentia; Muridae.